UCGACGGUGAAGCCCAGCUUGCUGGGUGGAUCAGUGGCGAACGGGUGAGUAACACGUGAGCAACCUGCCCUCCACUUCGGGAUAAGCCUUGGAAACGGGGUCUAAUACCGGAUAUGAGCUCGCAUCGCAUGGUGUGGGUUGGAAAGUUUUUCGGUGGGGGAUGGGCUCGCGGCCUAUCAGCUUGUUGGUGGGGUGAUGGCCUACCAAGGCGUCGACGGGUAGCCGGCCUGAGAGGGCGACCGGCCACACUGGGACUGAGACACGGCCCAGACUCCUACGGGAGGCAGCAGUGGGGAAUAUGCACAAUGGGCGCAAGCCUGAUGCAGCGACGCCGCGUGAGGGAUGACGGCCUUCGGGUUGUAAACCUCUUUCAGCAGGGAAGAAGCGCAAGUGACGGUACCUGCAGAAGAAGCGCCGGCUAACUACGUGCCAGCAGCCGCGGUAAUACGUAGGGCGCAAGCGUUGUCCGGAAUUAUUGGGCGUAAAGAGCUCGUAGGCGGUCUGUCGCGUCUGGUGUGAAAUCCCGAGGCUCAACCUCGGGCUUGCAUCGGGUACGGGCAGACUAGAGUGCGGUAGGGGAGACUGGAAUUCCUGGUGUAGCGGUGGAAUGCGCAGAUAUCAGGAGGAACACCGAUGGCGAAGGCAGGUCUCUGGGCCGCAACUGACGCUGAGGAGCGAAAGCAUGGGGAGCGAACAGGAUUAGAUACCCUGGUAGUCCAUGCCGUAAACGUUGGGCACUAGGUGUGGGGCUCAUUCCACGAGUUCCGUGCCGCAGCUAACGCAUUAAGUGCCCCGCCUGGGGAGUACGGCCGCAAGGCUAAAACUCAAAGGAAUUGACGGGGGCCCGCACAAGCGGCGGAGCAUGCGGAUUAAUUCGAUGCAACGCGAAGAACCUUACCAAGGCUUGACAUGUACGAGAAAGCCCCCGAGACGGGGUUCUCUUUGGACACUCGUACACAGGUGGUGCAUGGUUGUCGUCAGCUCGUGUCGUGAGAUGUUGGGUUAAGUCCCGCAACGAGCGCAACCCUCGUCCUAUGUUGCCAGCGGGUUAUGCCGGGGACUCAUGGGAGACUGCCGGGGUCAACUCGGAGGAAGGUGGGGAUGACGUCAAAUCAUCAUGCCCCUUAUGUCUUGGGCUUCACGCAUGCUACAAUGGCCGGUACAGAGGGCUGCGAUACCGUAAGGUGGAGCGAAUCCCAAAAAGCCGGUCUCAGUUCGGAUUGGGGUCUGCAACUCGACCCCAUGAAGUCGGAG
This 1254-nucleotide ribosomal RNA is filed under the name uncultured bacterium. Its description in RNAcentral is "bacterial SSU rRNA". It matches the Rfam family "Bacterial small subunit ribosomal RNA", at positions 62 to 1331 of the family's 1533-position model. The record is from RNAcentral.